Molecule: non-coding RNA, 86 nt
Organism: Nematostella vectensis (starlet sea anemone)
Lineage: Eukaryota; Metazoa; Cnidaria; Anthozoa; Actiniaria; Edwardsiidae
Source: Rfam
CCUUCGAUAGCUCAAUUGGUAGAGCGGGGGACUGUAGAUUUAUAAUUGUGAUCCCUAGGUCGCUGGUUCGAAUCCGGUUCGAAGAA